Oncorhynchus nerka (sockeye salmon) is the source of this 2423-nucleotide long non-coding RNA. RefSeq lists it as uncharacterized. The record is from RefSeq and is a predicted model, not a curated record. The transcript has 2 exons. Lineage: Eukaryota; Metazoa; Chordata; Actinopteri; Salmoniformes; Salmonidae.
UCUCUCUCUCUCUCUGUCUCUCUCUCUGUCUCUCUCUCUGUGUCUCUCUGUCUCUCUCUGUCUCUCUCUGUCUCUCUGUCUCUCUCUCUCUCUCUCUCUCUCUCUCUCUCUCUGUCUCUCUCUCUCUCUCUCUCUCUCUCUACUCCCUCUCUCUGUUUAACUCAACCCAGUGUAGUAGUAUGGUAUGUUCUUCGUCAUCACUACUACUGUCAUGCCAAACCAAGGAAGAAGAAGAGGAAGGAAAGGGACGAUGUUGUUGUCGCUGGAAAAGCUGGACAACGUUUAUAUGCUUGAAAUCCAUUUUUAUUUUUAUUUUUUUUGCAAGAAAAAAGUUGAGAAGGAAGUUGAGGAAUUUUUAAAUAAAUUAAGUUUUAAAGCAAUGAACAAUGUAUUGUAUUGUACAAUCCCCCUGAUAGGUGCCGAGCCGCCAGACUUAUUAUCCUGGGAUCAGUAGUCUUCUAUCUGAGAGACUCGCGCUGCGUGUUACCAUGGUUACGCUGGUUAACAUGAUGAGGCUGGGAGGAAUUCUAUCUGAGAGACGCGUGCUGCGUGUUACCAUGUUUACCAUGGUUCUCCUUCCCAACGCUGGUUAACAUGAUGAGGCUCUGUGGCUUUUCGUUAAGACUUGACUGGGAGGAAAUCUAUCUGAGAGACGCGCGCUGCGUGUUACCAUGGUUACUCUGGUUAACAUGAUGAGGCUCUGUGGCUUUUCGUUAAGACUUGACUGGGAGGAAAAUCACGUGUCUCGUUGUCAUUUACAUUGACGAUGACCCUGGAAAGCUUUAGUCUAUUAUAUAUAUAUAUAUCAGCACAGCACAAAGACCUGGGAGUUAGAGGGGUAACGGGGGAGGAUGAGGGAGAAUUGGGGAAGGUAGCGAGGGAGAAUUGGGGGGAGGGUGCUCAAAGAGACUAUGCAAUAGUGUUACCCAGCCUUUCAUGUCCAUUCGGGGUUGGUUUGUUGAUAUCUAAAGGCCAGUCCACAGUGGGGACCUGGGCAGUGUUCCAGACCUGUCUCCUAUGUUACUGCACUACUGAUGACCAGGGACUCCGUAGGAACUACGGUGCCACAGCGCUGCCAGGGGGUCACGGUAUUCCUAAAAAAAAACAUGUGUGCCAUCACCUUUUCUACCUACUAGCCAACCAACCAGCCACAGGGGACAGCUAUAGGCAGGAGGUUAGAUUUACUGCUGCUUCUAUAGAGACGUUCUAUCGCUGAGCGUUCUAGAGUUCUAUCACUGAGAGUUCUGGAGUUCUAUCAGCUAGAAGUCUCUCCUUUACUUCUAUAGAGACGUUCUAUCGCUGAGCGUUCUAGAGUUCUAUCACUGAGAGUUCUGGAGUUCUAUCAGCUAGAAGUCUCUCCUUUACUUCUAUAGAGACGUUCUAUCGCUGAGCGUUCUAGAGUUCUAUCACUGAGAGUUCUGGAGUUCUAUCAGCUAGAAGUCUCUCCUUUACUUCUAUAGAGACGUUCUAUCGCUGAGCGUUCUAGAGUUCUAUCACUGAGAGUUUUAGAGUUCUAUCAGCUAGAAGUCUCUCCUUUACUUCUAUAGAGACGUUCUAUCGCUGAGCGUUCUAGAGUUCUAUCACUGAGAGUUUUAGAGUUCUAUCAGCUAGAAGUCUCUCCUUUACUUCUAUAGAGACGUUCUAUCACUGAGAAUUCUAGAAUUCUCUCCUUUACUUCUAUAGAGACGUUCUAUCACUGAGAAUUCUAGAAUUCUCUCCUUUACUUCUAUAGAGACGUUCUAUCGCUGAGAAUUGUAUCAGCUAGAAGCCUCACACCUUGAGAUGCAGAGUAGAAUAUUGGCCUGACCUGUAAACCUAAUAUGCACAUUGCUUUGGGAGGCUGAUUGAUACGAUGUACAGAGAGAAACCCCAUGUCUAUAAUAUGACUAAUAAUUAAAGACUUUACAGUCAGUUACAGGGACAGUGUUUUGGCGUUGUGUCUUCCUGACGGGGGGGGGGGGGAGGGUUUCAGGGUCUUCGGGGGGAAACUGCACUUUCUGAAGGACAUUCCUUAUUUUGGUAACGUUUAACCAAGGUAGAGACUCCAGCCUGCUCCUCCCACCGUCGUCCCAUGUCUCCUCCCAUCGUCGUCACCACGACGACCACGAUGAUGCUGUCGUUCUGUUGUCAUUUUGUUUUUAUUUCAUAAUAAUAAUGAUAUAUAUUAUUAUUAUUAUUUUUCCUUCUUGGUUGAUGUUUUAUUUUACUUUUUUUUUUUUUGUGAUUGAUUAUUUUAGUGCUAUUAAAAGAGAAUGUGUACUGAAGGUGUUUUAUUAGGUUGGUUGGUGGACGGUCUCCUGGGCUGAGCCGACCGACCGAGCGCUAGACAUAUUGAUAACUGUUUGUAAACCUUCUGGCCGUAGUGUCGGAACACAAAAGCUGUAUAACUUGGGUACAACCCUCAAUAAAAAGACUAACAGUGA